This 3005-nucleotide ribosomal RNA is filed under the name Salmonella enterica subsp. enterica serovar Typhimurium. RNAcentral's name for it is "23S ribosomal RNA". It matches the Rfam family "Bacterial large subunit ribosomal RNA". Lineage: Bacteria; Pseudomonadati; Pseudomonadota; Gammaproteobacteria; Enterobacterales; Enterobacteriaceae. The record is from RNAcentral.
GGGUUGUGAGGUUAAGCGACUAAGCGUACACGGUGGAUGCCCUGGCAGUCAGAGGCGAUGAAGGACGUGCUAAUCUGCGAUAAGCGCCGGUAAGGUGAUAUGAACCGUUAUAACCGGCGAUUUCCGAAUGGGGAAACCCAGUGUGAUUCGUCACACUAUCAUUAACUGAAUCCAUAGGUUAAUGAGGCGAACCGGGGGAACUGAAACAUCUAAGUACCCCGAGGAAAAGAAAUCAACCGAGAUUCCCCCAGUAGCGGCGAGCGAACGGGGAGGAGCCCAGAGCCUGAAUCAGCAUGUGUGUUAGUGGAAGCGUCUGGAAAGGCGCGCGAUACAGGGUGACAGCCCCGUACACAAAAGCGCAUGUGCUGUGAGCUCGAUGAGUAGGGCGGGACACGUGGUAUCCUGUCUGAAUAUGGGGGGACCAUCCUCCAAGGCUAAAUACUCCUGACUGACCGAUAGUGAACCAGUACCGUGAGGGAAAGGCGAAAAGAACCCCGGCGAGGGGAGUGAAAAAGAACCUGAAACCGUGUACGUACAAGCAGUGGGAGCACCCUUCGGGGUGUGACUGCGUACCUUUUGUAUAAUGGGUCAGCGACUUAUAUUCUGUAGCAAGGUUAACCGUAUAGGGAGCCGGAGGGAAACCGAGUCUUAAUUGGGCGUUAAGUUGCAGGGUAUAGACCCGAAACCCGGUGAUCUAGCCAUGGGCAGGUUGAAGGUUGGGUAACACUAACUGGAGGACCGAACCGACUAAUGUUGAAAAAUUAGCGGAUGACCUGUGGCUGGGGGUGAAAGGCCAAUCAAACCGGGAGAUAGCUGGUUCUCCCCGAAAGCUAUUUAGGUAGCGCCUCGUGAAUUCAUCUCCGGGGGUAGAGCACUGUUUCGGCUAGGGGGCCAUCCCGGCUUACCAACCCGAUGCAAACUGCGAAUACCGGAGAAUGUUAUCACGGGAGACACACGGCGGGUGCUAACGUCCGUCGUGAAGAGGGAAACAACCCAGACCGCCAGCUAAGGUCCCAAAGUCAUGGUUAAGUGGGAAACGAUGUGGGAAGGCCCAGACAGCCAGGAUGUUGGCUUAGAAGCAGCCAUCAUUUAAAGAAAGCGUAAUAGCUCACUGGUCGAGUCGGCCUGCGCGGAAGAUGUAACGGGGCUAAACCAUGCACCGAAGCUGCGGCAGCGAACGUAUCACCCAAGACAACUUUACGGAGUUGACGAUUGACGGAGCGAAGCGACGUCAAAGCGUUCAUUAAAGUCGAGUUGGCUUAGGGAUACGUUCGUUGGGUAGGGGAGCGUUCUGUAAGCCUGUGAAGGUGUGUCGUGAGGCAUGCUGGAGGUAUCAGAAGUGCGAAUGCUGACAUAAGUAACGAUAAAGCGGGUGAAAAGCCCGCUCGCCGGAAGACCAAGGGUUCCUGUCCAACGUUAAUCGGGGCAGGGUGAGUCGACCCCUAAGGCGAGGCCGAAAGGCGUAGUCGAUGGGAAACGGGUUAAUAUUCCCGUACUUGGUGUUACUGCGAAGGGGGGACGGAGAAGGCUAUGUUGGCCGGGCGACGGUUGUCCCGGUUUAAGCGUGUAGGUGUGUGUUCCAGGUAAAUCCGGUUCACUUUAACACUGAGGCGUGACGACGAGGCACUACGGUGCUGAAGCAACAAAUGCCCUGCUUGAAAGCCUCUAAGCAUCAGGUAACACGAAAUCGUACCCCAAACCGACACAGGUGGUCAGGUAGAGAAUACCAAGGCGCUUGAGAGAACUCGGGUGAAGGAACUAGGCAAAAUGGUGCCGUAACUUCGGGAGAAGGCACGCUGACACGUAGGUGAAGUGAUUUACUCAUGGAGCUGAAGUCAGUCGAAGAUACCAGCUGGCUGCAACUGUUUAUUAAAAACACAGCACUGUGCAAACACGAAAGUGGACGUAUACGGUGUGACGCCUGCCCGGUGCCGGAAGGUUAAUUGAUGGGGUCAGCGUAAGCGAAGCUCCUGAUCGAAGCCCCGGUAAACGGCGGCCGUAACUAUAACGGUCCUAAGGUAGCGAAAUUCCUUGUCGGGUAAGUUCCGACCUGCACGAAUGGCGUAAUGAUGGCGAGGCUGUCUCCACCCGAGACUCAGUGAAAUUGAACUCGCUGUGAAGAUGCAGUGUACCCGCGGCAAGACGGAAAGACCCCGUGAACCUUUACUAUAGCUUGACACUGAACAUUGAGCCUUGAUGUGUAGGAUAGGUGGGAGGCUUUGAAGUGUGGACGCCAGUCUGCAUGGAGCCGACCUUGAAAUACCACCCUUUAAUGUUUGAUGUUCUAACGUGGACCCGUAAUCCGGGUUGCGGACAGUGUCUGGUGGGUAGUUUGACUGGGGCGGUCUCCUCCUAAAGAGUAACGGAGGAGCACGAAGGUUGGCUAAUCCUGGUCGGACAUCAGGAGGUUAGUGCAAUGGCAUAAGCCAGCUUGACUGCGAGCGUGACGGCGCGAGCAGGUGCGAAAGCAGGUCAUAGUGAUCCGGUGGUUCUGAAUGGAAGGGCCAUCGCUCAACGGAUAAAAGGUACUCCGGGGAUAACAGGCUGAUACCGCCCAAGAGUUCAUAUCGACGGCGGUGUUUGGCACCUCGAUGUCGGCUCAUCACAUCCUGGGGCUGAAGUAGGUCCCAAGGGUAUGGCUGUUCGCCAUUUAAAGUGGUACGCGAGCUGGGUUUAGAACGUCGUGAGACAGUUCGGUCCCUAUCUGCCGUGGGCGCUGGAGAACUGAGGGGGGCUGCUCCUAGUACGAGAGGACCGGAGUGGACGCAUCACUGGUGUUCGGGUUGUCAUGCCAAUGGCACUGCCCGGUAGCUAAAUGCGGAAGAGAUAAGUGCUGAAAGCAUCUAAGCACGAAACUUGCCCCGAGAUGAGUUCUCCCUGAGACUUAGAGUCUCCUGAAGGAACGUUGAAGACGACGACGUUGAUAGGCCGGGUGUGUAAGCGCAGCGAUGCGUUGAGCUAACCGGUACUAAUGAACCGUGAGGCUUAACCUUACAACGCCGAAG